RNAcentral lists this non-coding RNA (182 nucleotides) under Clostridiaceae bacterium. Its description in RNAcentral is "6S RNA". It matches the Rfam family "6S / SsrS RNA". Rfam says of the family: E. coli 6S RNA was the first non coding RNA to be sequenced, but its function was unknown until recently. It consists of 184 nucleotides that fold into an extended hairpin structure with a large single-stranded internal bulge. The 6S RNA specifically associates with RNA polymerase holoenzyme containing the sigma70 specificity factor. The record is from RNAcentral. Lineage: Bacteria; Bacillati; Bacillota; Clostridia; Eubacteriales; Clostridiaceae.
UUGAUCCUGAGAUGUGCGUAAAACUUAUUUUUUUCAACCGACAUAAUCAAUAAGGGAUUUUCAAUAAUUUUAUGGAUGUCAGGCUUUUAAGAAAUUAUUUUAGUAGGCAGAAGUAAAAUGAGUUUAGCCCACCUGCUUAAAUGCGGGUAUGAUAAAUAAGAAAAACGGCAUGUUGGGUCAUU